GAUGAAGAACGUAGCGAAAUGCGAUAAGUAAUGUGAAUUGCAGAAUUCAGUGAAUCAUCGAAUCUUUGAACGCACAUUGCGCCCGCCAGUAUUCUGGCGGGCAUGCCUGUUCGAGCGUCAUUACAACCCUCAGGCCCCCGGGCCUGGCGUUGGGGAUCGGCGGAAGCCCCCUGCGGGCACAACGCCGUCCCCCAAAUACAGUGGCGGUCCCGCCGCAGCUUCCAUUGCGUAGUAGCUAACACCUCGCAACUGGAGAGCGGCGCGGCCACGCCGUAAAACAUCCAACUUCUGAAUGUUGACCUCGAAUCAGGUAGGAAUACCCGCUGAACUUAAGCAUAUCAAUAAGCGGAGGA
RNAcentral lists this unclassified non-coding RNA (353 nucleotides) under soil metagenome. Its description in RNAcentral is "partial contains 5.8S ribosomal RNA, internal transcribed spacer 2, and large subunit ribosomal RNA". The stretch from base 1 to 120 matches the Rfam family "5.8S ribosomal RNA", at positions 35 to 154 of the family's 154-position model. The record is from RNAcentral.